UGGGGAAUAUUGCACAAUGGAGGAAACUCUGAUGCAGCAACGCCGCGUGAGUGAUGAAGGUCUUCGGAUUGUAAAGCUCUGUCUUCUGGGACGAUAAUGACGGUACCAGAGGAGGAAGCCACGGCUAACUACGUGCCAGCAGCCGCGGUAAUACGUAGGGAGCAAGCGUUGUCCGGAUUUACUGGGUGUAAAGGGUGCGUAGGCGGCUCUGCAAGUCAGGUGUGAAAACUAUGGGCUUAACCCAUAGACUGCAUUUGAAACUGUGGGGCUUGAGUGAAGUAGAGGCAGGCGGAAUUCCCGGUGUAGCGGUGAAAUGCGUAGAGAUCGGGAGGAACACCAGUGGCGAAGGCGGCCUGCUGGGCUUUAACUGACGCUGAGGCACGAAAGCAUGGGUAGCAAACAGGAUUAGAUACCCUGGUAGUCCAUGCCGUAAACGAUGAUUACUAGGUGUGGGGGGUCUGACCCCUUCCGUGCCGGAGUUAACACAAUAAGUAAUCCACCUGGGAAGUACGACCGCAAGGUUG
RNAcentral lists this ribosomal RNA (524 nucleotides) under uncultured bacterium. RNAcentral's name for it is "bacterial SSU rRNA". It matches the Rfam family "Bacterial small subunit ribosomal RNA", at positions 355 to 896 of the family's 1533-position model. The record is from RNAcentral.